AUACGGAGGAUGCAAGCGUUAUCCGGAUUUAUUGGGUUUAAAGGGAGCGUAGGUGGGAUAUUAAGUCAGCUGUGAAAGUUUGGGGCUCAACCUUAAAAUUGCAGUUGAUACUGGUUUCCUUGAGUACGGUACAGGUGGGCGGAAUUCGUGGUGUAGCGGUGAAAUGCUUAGAUAUCACGAAGAACUCCGAUCGCGAAGGCAGCUCACCGGGCCGGAACUGACACUGAUGCUCGAAAGUGCGGGUAUCAAACAGGAUUAGAUACCCUGGUAGUCCGCACAGUAAACGAUGAAUACUCGCUGUUUGCGAUACACUGUAAGCGGCCAAGCGAAAGCGUUAAGUAUUCCACCUGGGGAGUACGCCGGCAACGGUGAAACUUAAAUGAAUUGGCGGGG
This 393-nucleotide ribosomal RNA is filed under the name uncultured bacterium. RNAcentral describes it as "partial 16S ribosomal RNA". It matches the Rfam family "Bacterial small subunit ribosomal RNA", at positions 523 to 918 of the family's 1533-position model. The record is from RNAcentral.